AUAUUAAAUAUGCAAAUCUCAUGAUUUUCUCCAAAGAAAAUAUUUUCAUCAACAAUUGUCUUCAAAGAAGUUGGAAAUGAUUCACUUACCCAUUGCCUCAAGUUCAUGUUUUCAUUGAAAAGUUCAUUUGUUGGUCUUCUUCUUGUCAAUAUCUCUAUUAACAUUAUGCCGUAACUAUAAACAUCACCACUCGUGGACACUAUUCCCUCCGAGCCAUACUCUGGUGCAAUGUAGCCAAUGGUGCCCAAUGUGUUAGUUUGUGCCAUGGAGUUGUUUUCACCUAAAAUCUUUGAAAU
RNAcentral lists this unclassified non-coding RNA (296 nucleotides) under Hevea brasiliensis (rubber tree). The record is from RNAcentral. Lineage: Eukaryota; Viridiplantae; Streptophyta; Magnoliopsida; Malpighiales; Euphorbiaceae.